GGAUGUGAGGGCGAUCUGGCUGCGACAUCUGUCACCCCAUUGAUCGCCAGGGUUGAUUCGGCUGAUCUGGCUGGCUAGGCGGGUGUCCCCUUCUUCCCUCACCGCUCCAUGUGCGUCCCUCCCGACGCUGCGCGCUCGGUCAAAGAGGACAACCUUCCCCGAUAGAGGAGGACCGUUCUUCGGCCAAGGGUAUACGAGUAGCUGCGCUCCCCUGCUAGAAGCUCCAAACAAGAAAUAUACACUGCAUUUCCACUACAGUGUAGAUAUAUUAUACACCAUACCUAAAUGUCGUAUUCCUCCAGCGUCAGUUACAAAAUGUCACUCUACUGUUU
Molecule: unclassified non-coding RNA, 332 nt
Organism: Ursus americanus (American black bear)
Lineage: Eukaryota; Metazoa; Chordata; Mammalia; Carnivora; Ursidae
Gene: 7SK
Rfam family: 7SK RNA
About the family: 7SK was discovered as an abundant small nuclear RNA in the mid-70s but a possible function has only recently been suggested. Two independent studies have found that 7SK RNA binds the CDK9/cyclin T complex (known as elongation factor P-TEFb). P-TEFb activates transcription by phosphorylating the C-terminal domain of RNA polymerase II.
Source: Ensembl